AUGCGCGGAGGGGGAAGCAGUGGCGAAAUUGGAUGCUUUUUGCUGAGUUUCUCAGAGAAGUUUCUGGAAAGAUGGAGCCAAAGGGACGCUGGGGGGUGGGGAGCGCCAGGAAGCAAGCGUUUGAAAGAAAGCGAAAAAACCCAAGCGCACCGCGACACCUCCAACCUUCAAGCCACGGCCCAAGCAGAGCCCAAGGCCACUGAGACCCUCACGCCAGAGAAAAAGCACAGGGACCGCGGCAGCCGCUCCUCCCUCUGCCACUGCUCAGCCCCCGAGACUCCCCAGCACGGGGAGAGGGCAGGGGGUAGCCAUGAGAAACCUAGAGCGCUCACUGGACUUUUGCGAGGUGGAAGGAAAGCCGAAACCCGCCCUUUGGAGCCGCCUGUGCGCACGGGCCCCGUCGAGUGGGCUCAGUACGUUAGGACUCAGCGUGGCCGCCAAAGCAUUGGUUGGGGGCGUCUUUCACUAAUUUUUCCUAGGUUUUCUCUUCUAUCGGGCUCUGUGGUCCUUUCACCACCCAUCUUCACUUUGGUGGCCUGACGCUAACGCUGCGAGUUGGGGAAACCGUAGUAACCCCGGGCCUGAGGGGCGUCCCGGGCGGCGGUGCUCCGUUUCUUCCAGCGGUUGCCCCUUUAAGAAAAAGCCCCCCGGAGAGGGGCCCGUGUGGCUGAGUAAAGGUGGCGUGCGCCCGCACAAAGGCGCCGCGUUGUUGGCGGGCUCCGGACCCUGUUGCCCCUGGGCGGGGCGGCGUGGGAAGACCGGGGCGCCUGGGCGGGGAGAACGACGUUGGCGCUAGCGGGGCAGGGCAGGGGGAGGGAGUCACGGGAUUUAGCAGGUGCUUCUCCGCGACCGAGCGACUGCCAUUUUGUGGUGCGGCCGCCGCCAUUUCGCGCGGCCGAGGGGCGGGGUGUGGGCGGAGCGGCGGGCGCGCCCGGGCUGUCCCUCGGGGCGGCGGGCUAACGCGGCCGCUUUGUUCUUCGCUUCUCGGCUCGAGGCCCCAGUCUCGACCGCCGACCGCCUCGGAACCGGGCUGCAUCCGAGCUGCCACGCGGCGUGUGAACCUUGAAGCGCGGCCGGGGAAUCCGCAAGGCGCCGACUCUCUUCCUCCUUGCAAGCCCUUCGAAAGUGAGAUUUCUCACCCCACCCUUGCAGGGUGGAGAGAACACGUUUCAAAAAGGGGAUGCCUAGAACUCAGCCGUGGGAAGUGCCUGUCUAAAGCCUUGUGCUGGUGCCAGUAGCAAACCCGUGCGCGUGCUCGGCUUUGAGCGAUCAUGGAGCUCUGCAAAUAGCUCAACUGCAGAGCGUGCCCCUUAGAGCUCCUGUGCUGCUGGGAGGCCUCAUAAAGGUGCCAAAACCAGGUGUCCCCAGCGGUUGGCCUCUUUAAAAAGAAAAAAAAAAAAAGGCGGAGUGGGAUGUCCUUGACGUGCUGAAAGACGGAGUAGAAUGAGACGUUGGUUUUCAUUGGCUGGCCAUUAAGCACGCACUGCGCAACUGUUUUCCAGAUACGGGUUUAUAGCCCAUUAUUUAUAUCGGAGCCAUAAACUUGAACAAUAGAUUGGAAUAUCUUAUUUUUGCCUGUUGAGAAUAUCUCCCAUUUAACUUCUUUUGAAAGUUCAGAUGAGUAUAUAAAUAAUACAUUGACCCAGUAGAAUCUAUUGUGUGCGUUCCAGCGUCAUUUCAAAGAGCUAUUGUUUUUCUGAUUUCAAAAGAAAUAUUUAAAUGUGAGUCUUUGUGUUUUAAUGUUAACCUUGUGGUUCGAAAUCAACAAAGCCAGGAAAUUCAAGAGAACUGCUGCU
RNAcentral lists this long non-coding RNA (1796 nucleotides) under Homo sapiens (human). Its description in RNAcentral is "non-protein coding lnc-UQCRHL-1:5". The record is from RNAcentral. Lineage: Eukaryota; Metazoa; Chordata; Mammalia; Primates; Hominidae.